RNAcentral lists this ribosomal RNA (468 nucleotides) under uncultured bacterium. RNAcentral's name for it is "partial 16S ribosomal RNA". It matches the Rfam family "Bacterial small subunit ribosomal RNA", at positions 28 to 507 of the family's 1533-position model. The record is from RNAcentral.
GACGAACGCUGGCGGCGUGCUUAACACAUGCAAGUCGAACGGAAAGGCCCUGCUUUUGUGGGGUGCUCGAGUGGCGAACGGGUGAGUAACACGUGAGUAACCUGCUCUUGACUUUGGGAUAACUUCAGGAAACUGGGGCUAAUACCGGAUAGGAGCUCCUGCUGCAUGGUGGGGGUUGGAAAGUUUCGGCGGUUGGGGAUGGACUCGCGGCUUAUCAGCUUGUUGGUUGGGUAGUGGCUUACCAAGGCUUUGACGGGUAGCCGGCCUGAGAGGGUGACCGGGCACAUUGGGACUGAGAUACGGACCAGUGUCCAACGGGAGGCAGCAGUGGGGAAUAUUGCACAAUGGGCGGAAGCCGGAUGAAGCAGCGCCGCGUGCGGGAUGACGGCCUUCGGGUUGUAAACCGCUUUAGCCUGUGACGAAGCGUGAGUGACGGUAAUGGGUAAAGAAGCACCGGCUAACUACGUG